GUUACAUUUAAAGGGAGGUGAGGAGAAAAUGCCCUUUUUUUCUCCACAGGGUUGUAACUAACAGACAGCAGCCAGACCUUUUCCAGCUUGGAGCCUUUGUUUCUCCUGCUUAUUUCUCCAAACACUACCUGUCUUUGUAGGGAAGUUCCAUGUCCAUGCUGUCCAGCAAUGAUUCAAGAUUUAACCAUGGAGAAGCUCCUCAAACCUCUUUAUCUCCAGGAUUGUCUUGUCACAUCUUGCAGAAUGCUUGAUGGUGCAAAGGCACAGCUUUUGCUCAGAUAUUGCAAGUGGGCAGGCAGAAAACAAAUGUUUGAGACUUUCAGCAGCAAACCCCACAUCACUGCCACGUCUCAAAACAUAAGAAAUUUCUGUGCAAGGUGUGAUGAGGGGAGAGGACAAAUAUCCUUCUGCCGGGGAGGGGCAUGGUACAGCUGUAAUUACUGUUCCAGUGGUAACCACAGCUGUAACAAGUGUGAUUAAGUGGUUGUGGCACAGCAGAGUGAUUCAGGAUGCUUGUGGGCUCUGCAGGGAUGUCAAGGUAAGGCUGCUGAGAUGGAUCCAGGUUCCUUCCUGUGACAGCAGAGGGGAGGUGAAUGAGAGGAAUGCCUGCAGCUUCCUGAACUCCAAUAGGUUCCAUCUCUUGAGAGAUGUUUUUCAUGUAUAAAAAAUGUUUGGGGCUCUGUUACAAUUUCAGCAGGUACAGCUUUUCAAGAGAAACCAACAAAAGGAGCAGUUCUGAAGAGGUAUCGUAUUUCCACUGCUUCCACAAGUACUGGAGAAUAGCAGGUAUAGCAAUUUCCUGUGUCAGAAAAAUCCACAAAUGCCAGAAGUUUAUGUCCAGAAAGGAGACAGAGGAGUCCUGCAACUUUGUUGGAAUAAAAAGAGAGACUCAACCAGGGCACAAGACUGUCUGGGCUCUGCAGCAAACCUGCUGCUUGAAGCUAGCAGAAACGCCAAGACCCAUUUCAAAGAUGUUAACACCCAUACCUUCACCCCUCAAAUUGUUUGUAAACACAUGAACUUUCCUCUCACUCCCUCCUCCUAGUUCUCACUUUGCCUUACAAACCCUAGUUAUGAACUGAACCCUUUUUAACUUGAACACUUGAAACACCCCCUGACCUUUCCACCUCUGGUCGUGCAAGAGGCGUGGCAAAUAAAUCCAGGGAAUAAAGCAGACACUGUCACUUCCAUUAGCCCAUUAAUCCCUAGAGGUCCUUGCCCAUGGCUACUGAUAGACAAGGUCUCCCAUCUUUUUCCUCCUGCUGAGAAGUCCAAACCCCCAGGGUUUUAGAGACCUUGAGCUGAGUGUGAGCUGUCCACCCCUGUCCAGCUGUCCUGGCAGGAUGUUAUGGACAGCAAAGUCCAGAGGCAGCGUCUGUGUGACUGGGCUUCCAUUUCAAGUGAUCCCAAACUAAC
Long non-coding RNA from Passer domesticus (house sparrow), 1416 nucleotides. RefSeq lists it as uncharacterized. The transcript is spliced from 3 exons. The record is from RefSeq and is a predicted model, not a curated record. NCBI's taxonomy places the organism in Eukaryota, Metazoa, Chordata, Aves, Passeriformes, Passeridae.